RNAcentral lists this ribosomal RNA (404 nucleotides) under uncultured bacterium. Its description in RNAcentral is "bacterial SSU rRNA". It matches the Rfam family "Bacterial small subunit ribosomal RNA", at positions 976 to 1380 of the family's 1533-position model. The record is from RNAcentral.
CGGGCUUGAAAUCAGCAUGGCGGGGGCCAGAGACGGCCUCUUCCUUCGGGCAUGCUGGUAGGUGCUGCAUGGUUGUCGUCAGCUCGUGCCGUGAGGUGUCGGCUUAAGUGCCAUAACGAGCGCAACCCCUUCCGCCGGUUGCCAUCGGGUGAUGCCGGGCACUCCGGCGGCACUGCCGCCGCAAGGCGCGAGGAAGGCGGGGAUGACGUCAAAUCAGCACGGCCCUUACGUCCGGGGCCACACACGUGUUACAAUGGGGGGCACAGAGCGCUGGGCGCAGGCGACUGCGGUCGAAUCGUGAAAUCCCCUCCCAGUUCGGAUUGGAGUCUGCAACCCGACUCCAUGAAGCUGGAUUCGCUAGUAAUCGCGCAUCAGCCAUGGCGCGGUGAAUACGUUCCCGGGCC